AGAGGUCCCAAGGCGUUGUUCGGAUUCAUUGGGCGUAAAGGGUGUGUAGGUGGCGCCGUAAGUCGGGUGUGAAAUUUCGGAGCUUAACUCCGAAACUGCAUUCGAUACUGCGGUGCUUGAGGACUGGAGAGGAGACUGGAAUUCGAUGGUGUAGCAGUGAAAUGCGUAGAGAUCAUGAGGAAGACCAGUGGCGAAGGCGGGUCUCUGGACAGUUCCUGACACUGAGACACGAAAGGCCAGGGGAGGCAAAACGGG
This 255-nucleotide ribosomal RNA is filed under the name uncultured bacterium. RNAcentral describes it as "partial 16S ribosomal RNA". It matches the Rfam family "Bacterial small subunit ribosomal RNA", at positions 527 to 776 of the family's 1533-position model. The record is from RNAcentral.